UACGUAGGGGGCGAGCGUUAUCCGGAAUUACUGGGCGUAAAGCGCACGCAGGCGGUUCGCCAAGUUUGGAGUGACAGUUGUCGGCUCAACCGACAAAGGACUUCAAAAACUGGUGAACUUGAGGACGAGAGACGAACAUGGAACUCCAGGUGUAGUAGUGAAAUGCGUAGAUAUCUGGAAGAACACCAAUGGCGAAGGCAAUGUUCUGGCUCGUUUCUGACGCUCAGGUGCGAAAGCCAGGGGAGCGAACGGG
RNAcentral lists this ribosomal RNA (253 nucleotides) under uncultured bacterium. Its description in RNAcentral is "partial 16S ribosomal RNA". It matches the Rfam family "Bacterial small subunit ribosomal RNA", at positions 524 to 776 of the family's 1533-position model. The record is from RNAcentral.